Molecule: ribosomal RNA, 219 nt
Filed under: uncultured Thiothrix sp.
Lineage: Bacteria; Pseudomonadati; Pseudomonadota; Gammaproteobacteria; Thiotrichales; Thiotrichaceae
Description: partial 16S ribosomal RNA
Rfam family: Bacterial small subunit ribosomal RNA
Source: RNAcentral
GACUCCAGAAGUCGGAAUCGCUAGUAAUCGCGAAUCAGCAUGUCGCGGUGAAUACGUUCCCGGGCCUUGUACACACCGCCCGUCACACCAUGGGAGUUUGUUGCACCAGAAGCAGGUAGUCUAACCGAAAGGAGGGCGCUUGCCACGGUGUGGCCGAUGACUGGGGUGAAGUCGUAACAAGGUAGCCGUAGGGGAACCUGCGGCUGGAUCACCUCCUUU